UACGGAGGAUGCGAGCGUUAUCCGGAUUUAUUGGGUUUAAAGGGUGCGUAGGCGGAAUAUCAAGUCAGCGGUAAAAAUUCGGGGCUCAACCCCGUCGUGCCGUUGAAACUGAUGUUCUUGAGUGGGCGAGAAGUAUGCGGAAUGCGUGGUGUAGCGGUGAAAUGCAUAGAUAUCAGGAGGAAUACCGUUAGCGAAGGCGGCAAUCUGGCUGGAAACUGACGCUGAGGUGCGAAAGCGUGGGUAGCAAACAGG
This 252-nucleotide ribosomal RNA is filed under the name uncultured Bacteroidales bacterium. Its description in RNAcentral is "partial 16S ribosomal RNA". It matches the Rfam family "Bacterial small subunit ribosomal RNA", at positions 524 to 776 of the family's 1533-position model. Lineage: Bacteria; Pseudomonadati; Bacteroidota; Bacteroidia; Bacteroidales. The record is from RNAcentral.